Cavia porcellus (domestic guinea pig) is the source of this 6154-nucleotide long non-coding RNA. RefSeq lists it as uncharacterized. The transcript is spliced from 4 exons. NCBI's taxonomy places the organism in Eukaryota, Metazoa, Chordata, Mammalia, Rodentia, Caviidae. The record is from RefSeq and is a predicted model, not a curated record.
CCAGGGACCCUCCAAGAAGCUUCCAGGCCUUCAACCUCAGACUGGUGCUGUAUCCUUGAUCUCUCUUCAGAUUCUACAACUUCCAGCUUCUCAGACUGAUCAGCUACUGGGUUUCCAGCUCUCCAGUGCACAGAUCUGGUACGAUGUGACUUCUGGCUCUUCCCCAAAGUCAAAGUUGCCAUAAAAGGUAAAUGUUUUGAUUCAGUUCAUGACUUUAAGGCAACCAUAACAACACAACUAACAGCACUCAUGAAAGAGAAUUUCCAGGCGGACAUGAUGGCACAUGCUUCAAAUCCUGGCACUCGGGAGGCUGAGGCAGGAGGAUUGCUCUAUGUUUAAGGCAGCCUGAGCUAUGAAGUGAAUUUAAGUCCAUCCAGCCUGAACUCCAUAGUGAAACCUGUCUCAGAAAGAAAGAAAGAAAAAGAUUUCCAGAACUGCUUCAGAAAGUGAAAAGAUCGCUUGUGGAGCUCGAUGGUUAGCUCUGUGCUCCGGGGAUCCUGAAGCAGGUGAAUUGCUGCUCUGAGGACUCAUCUUUCAAAGUGGAUUCUUCCUGAACAGAAUCACAAAAGGUCCAUCCUCAUAUCCUGCCCAAAAGGUCAUCAUGGACCCUUGGAGCACAUCAGCUCUGAAUUCAAAGCCCCUUUCCGGAGACUCUGAGAGGGCACUGAGAGUUCUUUUCCCCGACCAGAAACCCUUCCCUUCUCCUUGUGGUGGGCCAGUCCUCAGCUUGCUGGGCUCUGCUUCCCUCUUUUGGGCUCUGUGUAUGGAAAGAGCUCUCUGGGGUUGUGUCUCCCAAAUCCUGGGACUUUGGAGGAGUCCCUGUGUCCACUUGGAGGUCUUGGUGGGAAACAGGCAGGAGGAAAGGAGAUGCCAAUGAGUCUGUCUGUUCCUAGGUACCCUGCCCAUUCUGCAGAAAACAUUUUCCACAUGCCAGUCCCCGCAGACAGCCAAGCAUAGCCCCUGCCUUCUGGGCCGCCCUGGCCACUGGAUUCUGACAACCUGCUUCUGCCUGAGUCCAUCCCCUUGUCCCACAUGUAUUCCUUGUGGAAUAUGUGAAGAGAUUUGUACCUUUCUGUUUAGACUCUGAUUGAGGUAGCAGGUAUGGCGAAGGCGGUAGAGAUUUUGUGUCUGGAGGGUAUAAUAUAGGGAAGAAGAGAAGACAGCUAGUGGUCUACACCAUAAAGCCUUCACUAGCCAGCCUUCCACUGUCCACCUCCAAGAAAUAGGGCAGAGCCAUCGCAGCAGAGGGCCAAAAACAAAGGAGAGGAUCAAAUUUACAUCUCUGGCCCAAACCUAAUUACUAAUUUGAUAGGAUUAAAAGGUGAGGCCUAAAUGGUUGCACCAAGAGGUCAGAACCCAUCUGGCUAGAAUUAGGACCCUUAUAAAAGGGCUUGAGGGAGAGUUUCAUCCCUUUUCUCCUCCAGUCAUGUGAGAACACAGCACUGGUCCCCUCCAGAGGAAGCAACAUUCAAGGUGCCAUUUUGGAAACAAAGUCCAGGCCCUCAUGAGACUCUGAACCUGCCAAUACCUUGGUAGGACCUUGAUAGCCUCCAGAACUCUCAAAAGUAAAAUAUAUUAUUUAUAAACUCCCUGGCCUCAGAUUUGUUUUGGCAGAACAAAUGGACUAAAACAGAAGCAAAUACAUCUGAACAUUAUUACACUGAUGGCUUUGCCCAGUGACCAAGGUUUCCUAACCUUGUCAUUCUUGACAUUUUUGAUGUGAGAGGCUGACCUGUGCAUCACAGGGUGCUGAGUGAUAUUCCUGGACUCAUUCAUUUCAAUAGCAUAUCACUAUGACACCAGAAGUGUCUUCAGACAUUUCCAAACAUUUCCUAGGAGACAAAACCACCCCUCUACACAAACACUCACACUACUGGUGAGAUUCACAGCCCUACACUUAAGUGCAGAAUUCAUGGCCCUGUAGCAAUUCUCCUGCUGCAUUAGACCAGGUGAGGUCAACUUAGACAAGGAGCAUGUAAUUAUUGCCAUACACUCUAAGAAAGCCACUAAUAUGAGGCUAAGUGCUUCAGAAGUACAAAGCUCCAACAGAUCCACCUGCCAUGUUCUUUAUCCUCUGCUUUGCUCCCCUCAUUAAUCAAGUGAAGUCAGAUAAAAGCAAUUGCUUUCAGAAGGGUAGAACAAGGAGGAAAGAAGGAAGGAUGUUAUGGUCUCGAGUCUGGAUAUCCCCCAAAGCCUUGUGUAGUCAAGGAGGCAGGCUUCUAGGCUUUGUGAAUGACUCGUGCUCCAAUGCUGGGAUUAGGGGGGCACCCAAGUGGAUGUGGCCUACACACAAUGUACGGGACAUAAAGAAUCUUCUCUCCAUGCUCCUCCACUUUUUCUCUUGUUGCUAGUACUGUUUGCUGCUGUCAUGAGCUGUUGGCCUCUGCCAUGUACCACUCUGCCUUGAAGCCAGCCAGCUGAUUAUGGACUGAAACCUCUAUGAACUGUAAGCUAAAUGAACCUCUCCUUCCUUCAUUUUGGGUGUCAAGUAUUUUGUCUCAGCAGUGAAAGAAAAGUAACCAGCACAGAGGUUCCAGCUUCAUGAGUUUGCUAGCAGCACUGGCCCUUUACAUAAGCGCUUCAGAGUUUGGGGAUAUAAUCCUCUGCUUGAGGAUACAAGGUCAUAGACUAGAACCCAUAGGUUCAAAACCUAGCUCUGGCCUUUACAUCUGUAUAAACUGGACAGAUUAUUUUACCUUUCUGAUGCAACUUGCCUAUUUGUCAAAUGACAAUAACUCCUUACAUACUGAUACUUUCUAGAGAAUUAAACGAAUGACUAUAAAAUGCAAAAAAUGCACUCGCUAGAUUAGAAUUUGGCCAACAGUGGGUCAUGCUCAAGUCUGUUCACCUAAGGUUGCCAGAUUUAACAGGUGCAAUAUCUGAUCUGGCCACUCUACCUACUGGUCAACCGCUCUAUGAAUGAAGUUUAACUGGCACCGCCAUGCCUGCUCAUUUCCAUGGCAUCUACACAAGGCAGAAUGGCAUAGGGGGGCCCUCAAGCCUCAGUUCUUUCCCUUCUCAUUCCUCACAGGACUCCUUGGCACUGGGUGGUGGGCAAUGUCUAUAAGGGCAACUGUAACAGUCAUGGGGUGCCAUUGGAAGAGGCCCAGUGGUUAUUACAAGGGUUCUGGACACAGUCAGAUUUUCCCAAGUCAAACUCUGUCUCCUAUGGAGCAUCAGCCCAGUCAUUUAACUGCAUGUGCCUCAGUUUCUUCCUCUUUGAAAUGCAAAUACAUCGGCACUGUUACUGGAAUCAGAGUGUGCUCAGGGAGGCUGGUGGUCGGGUGUGACCAGGCACCCAGAGAAUCUUCUCAUGGAGUCCUUGCAGAAAAACAUGCAACAAGCAAUCAUGUAGAAAAUGAAGACCACAGUUCUUGGAGUCUGGGGGUGACUUGGAGAUCCUGCUGUCAUUCUAAAAGGACCAGAGCUGCCAUCAUAUCAUACUAUUGCUUCUCUUCCUAUAACAAGCAAGCUUACCCUUCCCAGCACUGCUGUGAGCACUGAGACAGGAGUGGGAAUGGUCCAGCCACAGUCAGUGCUUUGUUCCCCACGCCCUUACCCUUUCUCUUUCCUGCUGCCCAUCUACAUCCGGGUCCUGACCCUGGCCAGCCCUGGCUGGUCAUCCCACUCAUGAUGCAGCACAGACUCCCGGUGCCAAGCCCUGCUGUGCUCCUCUCCCCCAGGGUUUCUCAUUUUCUGCCUCCCUUUAUAACAGCACUGUUUCAUUCAGUAACCGUGUCUCCUCCCCGCUGCCCCCUAUCACAUCUCAGCUCCCCAAAUCUUGCAAAGCCUACAGAAAUCAGAGGGGGGACAGCUACUCAUUCCUGUACCUUGGCUGCCUUCCUGGGAUCUGGCCGAGGAUCUUGGGCAUCUGAGGUCCUGGCAGAAUCCCACAGAAGAUUAGUGUGCUAAUGGCCCCAUAAAAAUGACAUUUAUGGGGAGGGCUUUAUUUCACUUUACCUCAGCUCCCCUCUUUUAAUGAGGCUGGCUCCAUCACUGGAAGUCUCAGGAGGUGGACAAACUGUGGUUUCAAGUUCCAGGCUCUGGUUGUGAGAGCUUAGAAAGGACUUUUGUUCCCAGUGAGGGUGAUUGCAGAGCAGGGCACAAGUGCCAAGGAGGACUGUGGGUUGGGGGCUCUGUGGGGACUAAAUCUUUCACCAAAGUUCCCCACGUCCUCCCCAAAGUCCAAGGUGCUUCUCAAGGGGAAAGUCUUGAAAAUCCAGAAGCAUUAGUGAGUCUCCCAGGCUCGGGACCAGCCCUCACCAACCACCCAUCCUGUGACCAGUAGGCGUUCAUUCUCAACCACAGACCAACCCGGCUCUCGCUGGCUUUGGCUUGUGGCCUCAAAGCAGCCAGUCCAACCAGGAAAUGGAGCUAAGUUCUGCCAACACAAGCCUCCUGGCCAUGCUGUCCACCUUCCCCUCUUCACUGCUCAACCCGCAAGCUGCUUGCUCUUCUCUCUGCCAUAUUUCUAGCGUAGGUCCUCAGCUCGGACACCAGCAAUGUCUGGGUGCAAGUCCUACCCUUGCCACCUUCUAGUUGCCCACUGAAAUUUCAUCUUCCUCUCUGGGUCUCAUUCUGUUCAACUUUAAAAUGGGGCGAACGUGCAGACAACACUGGUGCCAUGGGGUGCUAAGACUAAAAAGGAACUUCAUGGUAAACAGAAACUGCUUCAUUACAACAAAGUGAGAUGGUUCAAAGCAACCUUGACUUUGGAUGUACUCCCGGGUGCACACCAGGAGUGAAGUCUUGGACCAGCACCCCAGUUCCAUCUCAGAGCUGGCUUCUGAUGCACCCCGUCUGUAGCACCCUGAAAGCCAAGCUUGCAUCUCCACUUUCACCAGGACGUGGGGGAGGAAAAGAAGGAAUAGCAGCCAUCAAAACCCCCAGCUGGCGAGGGCUUGGAUGUCUGUCAGGAGCGGACCCCAGAGGCCCAGAAGAGGAACUGACAUGGGUCCUGCACCACAGUGCCAGGCAGGAAGCAGAGGCUGUGAGAGCGAGCAGAGAGAAAUGUGAAGGCCACUGCUGUGAGACAGCACACAGGUUCCACAGCUUUCUGUCCUCAGCAAAGGGAGAACUAGGAAAGAGGGAGAGCCACCAAUUUGCCAGGUCUUUUAGUGCAAGGUCCCUAUCCUCUGCAGACCUGUGGCUGAGGGCAGAGAGCGGGGAAGGUGUGUAGAACUCUUCCAUCUGAGCCACCGGUCCAGCCUCCCUCUCUCUGUCCAGAGACUGGGGUUCUUCCAAGCCUGUGUGUGUGGUUCCGCCAAAUCCCAUCAGGCAUGGUCUCUAGGAGCAAGUUCUAUCCUGGCCUCAGCCGAAAUCCCUCAAGGGGCCCCCAGCAGAGAAUCAGCCUCAGCACAAUUCACCCCAUCAAGGUCACUGCCUGUGAAGAAAAUGACAGGCUCCAUGUCACAGCUGUGGGAGAGACAGUGAGAUGCUGUCUGCCUGGGGAACUCCAGAAUCUUCUUGUGAACAGACAUGGACCCAAAUAGCUACCAAGCAAAGCAAUGAGUAAUAAGUGAAUGAAAAUAGUCUUUGAAGAAGAAAUGCCUGUGGGAAACAUCUUUAGCUGGAGUGGUCGAGAAGCUUCCAGAAGGAGGAGGUAUGGGAGCCAAGGCUUCAGAGACCAAAGCGCUAAGCAGGGCUGUCCAAGAGACACAUUAUUUAAACUCUAAUGAGAGCCACAUGUAGAACUCUAUUUUUUUUUAGUAGCCACACUAAACAGAGUAAAAGGAAUAGAUGAAAUUAGUUUUAAUGGUAUUACUUAUUUGGGCCCUAAAUGAUUUGAAAGAGUUUAAUGCUGCAAUAGUAAAAAUUAAUUAAUUUACUAUUUUAAAAUCUUGUUUUCAGAUUAAGUUUAAAAAUCUGGUGUAUAUUUUACACUCACAAGGGGUAAUCAAAAAAUGCAUUGCCAAAAAUGAUAGGAUACGUGUGUUUAGAGCUGGGGGAGUACUUUGAGUAUUUAGAGGGGAAUUAAGGGCAAUGUAUCUCUUACUGUAAUAAGUGAUUAAAAUUUAAGCACCCUCUGCACUUUUUGUCAGACCUCAUUGAUCAAACAUUUAUGGCACUUUCUGCUGAAUAAAAACAUUACAGUGUGUCCUCAUCCAACCCACUCAGCAGAUCCAGCUCUGUGUGUCUUCUGGCUCCUCCCCAA